UUGUAAAUCUCCAGAUAAAGCCUGAAGCUUAACUCCAGAAAGUCUGAAGAGACUGCAAGACUUGAGAUCGGGUGAGGUUAAACGUACUUUCAGGGUAGGGGUAAAGUCCUGUAAUCCCGGAAGGACGACCAGUGGCGAAAGCGUUUAACUAGAACGAAUCUGACGGUAAGGAACGAAGGCUAGGGUAGCAAACCGGAUUAGAUACCCGGGUAGUCCUAGCUGUAAACAUUGCCCAUUUGAUGUUGCUUUCCCGUUGAGGGAAGGCAGUGUCGGAGCGAAGGUGUUAAAUGGGCCGCUUGGGAAGUAUGGUCGCAAGACUGAAACUUAAAGGAAUUGGCGGGGGAGCACCGCAACGGGAGGAAUGUGCGGUUUAAUUGGGAUUCAACGCCGGAAACUCACCGGGAACGACCUGUGCAUGAGAGUCAACUUGACGAGCUUACUCGAUAGCAGGAGAGGUGGUGCAUGGCCGUCGUCAGCUCGUACCGUAGGGCGUUCACUUAAGUGUGAUAACGAGCGAGACCCACAUCUUUAAUUGCAAAUGUAUAUGGGAAUAUGCAUGCACUUUAGAGAAACCGCCAGCGCUAAGCUGGAGGAAGGAGUGGUCGACGGCAGGUCAGUACGCCCCGAAUUUCUCCGGGCUACACGCGCAUUACAAAGAACGGGACAUACGUUGCAACUCGAAAGAGGGAGCCAAUCGCGUACCCGUCCAUAGUUAGGAUUGAGGG
Molecule: ribosomal RNA, 725 nt
Filed under: uncultured bacterium
Lineage: Bacteria
Description: bacterial SSU rRNA
Rfam family: Archaeal small subunit ribosomal RNA
Source: RNAcentral